UACAGAGGCCACAAGCGUUAGUCGGAAUCACUGGGCUUAAAGGGUGCGUAGGUGGGCUUGUAAGCGUCCUGUGAAAUACCUCAGCUCAACUGAGGAACAGCAGGGCGAACUACAAGUCUUGAGGCAGGUAGGGGCUGGAAGAACAGUAGGUGGAGCGGUGAAAUGCGUAGAGAUCUACUGGAAUGCCGAUGGGGAAGCCAUCCAGCUGGGCCUGUCCUGACACUGAGGCACGAAAGCGUGGGGAGCAAACAGG
RNAcentral lists this ribosomal RNA (253 nucleotides) under uncultured bacterium. Its description in RNAcentral is "partial 16S ribosomal RNA". It matches the Rfam family "Bacterial small subunit ribosomal RNA", at positions 524 to 776 of the family's 1533-position model. The record is from RNAcentral.